AGAUUGAACGCUGGCGGCGUGCCUAACACAUGCAAGUCGAGCGGUAACAGGUGUAGCAAUACAUGCUGACGAGCGGCGAACGGGUGAGUAAUGCUUUGGAAUCUUCCCAGUAGUGGGGAACAACCAGUCGAAAGAUUGGCUAAUACCGCAUACGUCUGUGAAGAGAAAGCGGGGGAUCGUAAGACCUCGCGCUAUUGGAUGAGCCAAAGUCGGAUUAGCUAGUUGGUGAGGUAAUGGCUCACCAAGGCGACAAUCCGUAGC
Molecule: ribosomal RNA, 261 nt
Filed under: uncultured bacterium
Lineage: Bacteria
Description: partial small subunit ribosomal RNA
Rfam family: Bacterial small subunit ribosomal RNA
Source: RNAcentral